This 146-nucleotide ribosomal RNA is filed under the name uncultured bacterium. RNAcentral's name for it is "partial 16S ribosomal RNA". It matches the Rfam family "Bacterial small subunit ribosomal RNA", at positions 355 to 516 of the family's 1533-position model. The record is from RNAcentral.
UGGGGAAUAUUGGGCAAUGGGCGCAAGCCUGACCCAGCAACGCCGCGUGAAGGAAGAAGGCUUUCGGGUUGUAAACUUCUUUUAAGAGGGAAGAGAAGAAGACGGUACCUCUUGAAUAAGCCACGGCUAACUACGUGCCAGCAGCC